Molecule: ribosomal RNA, 444 nt
Filed under: uncultured Pseudomonas sp.
Lineage: Bacteria; Pseudomonadati; Pseudomonadota; Gammaproteobacteria; Pseudomonadales; Pseudomonadaceae
Description: bacterial SSU rRNA
Rfam family: Bacterial small subunit ribosomal RNA
Source: RNAcentral
AGCAUGUGGUUUAAUUCGAAGCAACGCGAAGAACCUUACCAGGCCUUGACGUGCAGAGAACUUUCCAGAGAUGGAUUGGUGCCUUCGGGAACUCUGACACAGGUGCUGCAUGGCUGUCGUCAGCUCGUGUCGUGAGAUGUUGGGUUAAGUCCCGUAACGAGCGCAACCCUUGUCCUUAGUUACCAGCACGUUAUGGUGGGCACUCUAAGGAGACUGCCGGUGCAAACCGGAGGAAGUGGGGAUGACGUCAAGUCAUCAUGGCCCUACGGCCUGGGCUACACACGUGCUACAAUGGUCGGUACAAAGGGUUGCCAAGCCGCGAGGUGGAGCUAAUCCCAUAAAACCGAUCGUAGUCCGGAUCGCAGUCUGCAACUCGACUGCGUGAAGUCGGAAUCGCUAGUAAUCGUGAAUCAGAAUGUCACGGUGAAUACGUUCCCGGGCCUU